RNAcentral lists this ribosomal RNA (253 nucleotides) under uncultured bacterium. Its description in RNAcentral is "partial 16S ribosomal RNA". It matches the Rfam family "Bacterial small subunit ribosomal RNA", at positions 524 to 776 of the family's 1533-position model. The record is from RNAcentral.
UACGUAGGGGGCAAGCGUUAUCCGGAUUUACUGGGUGUAAAGGGAGCGUAGACGGUGAUGCAAGUCAGAAGUGAAAGCCCGGGGCUCAACUCCGGGACUGCUUUUGAAACUGUGUGACUGGAGUGCAGGAGAGGUAAGUGGAAUUCCUGGUGUAGCGGUGAAAUGCGUAGAUAUCAGGAGGAACACCAGUGGCGAAGGCGGCUUACUGGACUGUAACUGACGUUGAGGCUCGAAAGCGUGGGGAGCAAACAGG